This 230-nucleotide long non-coding RNA is filed under the name Lathyrus oleraceus (garden pea). RNAcentral describes it as "Pisum sativum (pea) long non-coding RNA (PSAT_LNC001866)". The record is from RNAcentral. Lineage: Eukaryota; Viridiplantae; Streptophyta; Magnoliopsida; Fabales; Fabaceae.
AAUAUCAAAAUUAUUCAAAAAAAUGAUUUUAAUUCAAAAUAUGGAAGAGAAAAAUAUUUAAAGAUUUUUGGUGAAAAAAAUCAUAUUUUUUGGAUUAAAAAUGAAAUUUCUAUGAAUUAAGUAAAAUAAGAGGAUUAAAAGGAAAAUCAGAAAAUAAAAAAAAAUAAAAAAAACACGGGCCAUCAAAUCUCCCUCAUUAAUUGAGGUGGCAGAUCUGAUGGCCACAAACG